This 253-nucleotide ribosomal RNA is filed under the name uncultured bacterium. RNAcentral describes it as "partial 16S ribosomal RNA". It matches the Rfam family "Bacterial small subunit ribosomal RNA", at positions 524 to 776 of the family's 1533-position model. The record is from RNAcentral.
UACAGAGGGGGCAAGCGUUGUUCGGAAUUACUGGGCGUAAAGGGCGCGUAGGCGGCCUGUUAAGUCGAACGUGAAAUCCCCGGGCUCAACCCGGGAACUGCGUCCGAUACUGGCAGGCUUGAAUCCGGAAGAGGCGAGUGGAAUUCCUGGUGUAGCGGUGAAAUGCGCAGAUAUCAGGAGGAACACCAAUGGCGAAGGCAGCUCGCUGGGACGGUACUGACGCUGAGACGCGAAAGCGUGGGGAGCAAACAGG